GACUCCUGUGAUCUGGCGCCCAAGAACACAUUGUAAAAGCUCAUCAGCUUUCCAUGUCCUGGAAACCAACUCUUCUGUCUGAAGCAGGGGACUAAGACUGCACUCCAGAAAUACAAAUUCUAGAUAAGAAUUUCAAGAACAUGCAAGCAGAGAUCGCCAGUCCAGAUUCAGAAAGGCUCCACCAGGCACUGCAGGACCUAAAAGACAUUUUUACAAGUGGAUAUUUUCCUACAACCCUAGAUCCUAAGCAGAACCGAGUGGUUUAACUCAACACCUGAGAAAUCCUGCAUGAAAAGAAGGUCUUCAUUAAAAUUUCAACACCCUUGCUGCUUCAGUUGAGAGCUGGGAGAGCUCCCACUAUGCAUGUAAUUGUUUUUCCAUAGUAAAACACACUUUGCUGAAGGAUAAUUGAUAUGAGGCUUAAAAUUCUAGCACCGACAUACAAAGAAAAGUUAUUAACUUCUCUAAGUAUUUGUAUGGGCCCCUGAUUUUGUCCUCUGGAGUCCCAUCAUGUUCUUCAGGGGUGGGCUAGUAAAUUGUCUUCUUGGCUGCCUCAUUGGCCAAGUUCACCCACACAUGUCUCAUGUUCCAAGGAGUCUGAUCCCAUAGGUCUGUGUAACGUAACCAGCUUCUCCCCUGAAAAUGUGCAAUGAGAACAUAACACCAUUUUCUUUCUGAUCUUAGAUCAUAGGCACAGGCAAUUGACUGGCCUCUGAACUGAUAGAGAAGAGUAAUCAGGAAUACAG
Molecule: long non-coding RNA, 746 nt
Filed under: Anas platyrhynchos (mallard)
Lineage: Eukaryota; Metazoa; Chordata; Aves; Anseriformes; Anatidae
Description: lncRNA (ENSAPLG00020013449.1)
Source: RNAcentral